This 565-nucleotide ribosomal RNA is filed under the name uncultured bacterium. RNAcentral describes it as "partial 16S ribosomal RNA". It matches the Rfam family "Bacterial small subunit ribosomal RNA", at positions 355 to 911 of the family's 1533-position model. The record is from RNAcentral.
UAGGGAAUCUUCCACAAUGGACGCAAGUCUGAUGGAGCAAUGCCGCGUGAGUGAAGAAGGUUUUCGGAUCGUAAAGCUCUGUUGUAAGUCAAGAACGGGUGUGAGAGUGGAAAGUUCACACUGUGACGGUAGCUUACCAGAAAGGGACGGCUAACUACGUGCCAGCAGCCGCGGUAAUACGUAGGUCCCGAGCGUUGUCCGGAUUUAUUGGGCGUAAAGCGAGCGCAGGCGGUUUGAUAAGUCUGAAGUUAAAGGCUGUGGCUCAACCAUAGUUCGCUUUGGAAACUGUCAAACUUGAGUGCAGAAGGGGAGAGUGGAAUUCCAUGUGUAGCGGUGAAAUGCGUAGAUAUAUGGAGGAACACCGGUGGCGAAAGCGGCUCUCUGGUCUGUAACUGACGCUGAGGCUCGAAAGCGUGGGGAGCGAACAGGAUUAGAUACCCUGGUAGUCCACGCCGUAAACGAUGAGUGCUAGGUGUUGGAUCCUUUCCGGGAUUCAGUGCCGCAGCUAACGCAUUAAGCACUCCGCCUGGGGAGUACGACCGCAAGGUUGAAACUCUAAAGUGAA